CUUCCUUGAAAUGAAGAUACUUGAAUUUAAGGAUUACAAAUUAUUGUAGUAGUUUUUGUUUUCAGUCUACACUAUUAAAAGUAUAACAUAUACUUAUUUAAUCAUCUUUAGUUGUGGAAUUAGCAAUUACAUGAAUCGUUUUAGAAGGAUGCAUUAAAUAACAUUUCGGUGAGUCAUUUCUUAUUUUCAUUUUAUUUAUUUAUUUAUUUAUUUAUUUAUUUUUGUAUCAGGGAUUGAACUCAGGACCUUGCGCUUGCGAGGCAGGGAAUGGAACCACUGAGCUAAAUCCCUGGAUUUAGCCUCCUGCUUCUUAUUUUUAUUUUAAAGGACAGUAAUUCAUUAUAAUUAAUUGUGUGGAGUUAAUCCAUUCUUAAAAAGACAGGGUAUGAAGCUCAGACUGGCUAUAUAUCUCAGACUGGCCCACUCACUAUGCAGUCCAGGCUGACCUGGAACUCAAGGCGAUCUUCCUGCCUUUGCCUCUGAGUACCUGGGAUUACAGGUGUGCAGUGUAUGCCACCAUACUUGGGUUUGAAAUUCAUAAAAAUUAUACUGAAAAAAAUCAGAAGAGAUUAAUUUCUAUCAGUUUAAGGGUACUUUUUGGUAACACGUUGUGGGGAAUAACCUAGAGAACUCCUGAUUUUCACUGAACAUUAAAUUUGAAAAUAAUAUAUAGCUGUCUAGAUCAAUUUAAUAGUUCAGUAAUUAUCUCCUUAUCUUGAUUAAUAGAGUGGUGUUGUAGAUUAUCAAAGGAAGAGUUUAAAUGUAAACAAAUAUGCUGCAUAGGUAUUAUAUUUUUAUAUAAGUAGGACUUUUUUUUUGUUACUGGGGAUUGAACUUGUGUCCUUGUGGUUGCGCAGCAGGCGGCAAAACCACUGAGCUAUAUCCCUGGUCCUGUAAGUAGGACUUUUAAAUGGUAGUAAAAGUAUCAAAUGCUGCUAUUCUGUUGCUGUAUUUUAAUAAAAUGAAAAUAAUAAGUCUUGCCACUGUUGAGUAGUAAUUUCACUUGUUUUGGUGGUAUUUGCAUAUUCAUAGAUAUGAAGUUUUUGUAUUAGCUUUUUGUUUUUUUGAGACAGGGCCUUGCUAUGUAGCCCAGGCUGGACUUGGAUUCACAUUCCUCUUGUCUUAGAUCUGUGCCACAGCUCACAGCUUGUGACAGUGGGGUAUUGAGGUCUCCCACUACAAUUGUAUUAGUGUAUAUAUGACUUUUCAUGUCUGUUAGUAAUUGUUUUAUAUAGUUGGGCACACUAGUGUUUGGUGCGUAGAUAUUUAUGAUUGUCAUCUCUUCCUGUUGGAUUGUUCCCUUUACAAGAAUGUAGUGUCCUUCCUUGUCUCUCUUAAUCAGUGUUGUUUUGAAAUCCACUUGAUCUGCAAAGAGGAUAGCUACUCCUGCUUUUUUUUGGGUUCCCAUCACAUGGAUUAUUGUUUUCCACCCUUUAACUUUCAGUCUAUGAGUUUCACUUUGAAUUAGGUGUGUUUCUUGUAGGUGUGCAACAUAUUGUUGGAUUUUGCUUCUUGACCCAUUCUGCCAGUCUAUUUUGAUUGGUGAAUUGAGAC
This 1554-nucleotide long non-coding RNA is filed under the name Heterocephalus glaber (naked mole-rat). RNAcentral's name for it is "lncRNA (ENSHGLG00000042130.1)". Lineage: Eukaryota; Metazoa; Chordata; Mammalia; Rodentia; Bathyergidae. The record is from RNAcentral.